This 208-nucleotide ribosomal RNA is filed under the name uncultured bacterium. RNAcentral describes it as "partial 16S ribosomal RNA". It matches the Rfam family "Bacterial small subunit ribosomal RNA", at positions 568 to 775 of the family's 1533-position model. The record is from RNAcentral.
CACGUAGGCGGCUUCGUAAGUCUGAUGUGAAAUCCCCCGGCUCAACCGGGGAACUGCAUCGGAUACUGCGGGGCUGGAGUGCAGUAGGGGAGAGUGGAAUUCCAGGUGGAGCGGUGAAAUGCGUAGAUAUCUGGAGGAACACCAGUGGCGAAAGCGGCUCUCUGGACUGCAACUGACGCUGAGGUGCGAAAGCCAGGGGAGCAAACGG